AGAUUGAUCUGGCUGUGGUAGCCUCACUGUUCACCAGGGUUGAUUCAGCUGAUCCCGCUAGCUGGGUGUCAUCCCUUUCUCCAAGUGCAUCUCUCCAGUCCUUGGUGGCAGAUGACCUUCCCAGAAAGGCAGAGUGUACCAUACUUAAGUCAAGUAAAAACUGUGCUCCCUUGCCAUAUCUUCCACUUAGAAUCCCUAGCUUUCCCUUUGUGGAUUUAAGUGUCCAGAUUAAUCCAGAUUUGUUCAUAGUUUAU
Molecule: small nuclear RNA, 254 nt
Filed under: Anolis carolinensis (green anole)
Lineage: Eukaryota; Metazoa; Chordata; Lepidosauria; Squamata; Anolidae
Description: 7SK RNA
Rfam family: 7SK RNA
About the family: 7SK was discovered as an abundant small nuclear RNA in the mid-70s but a possible function has only recently been suggested. Two independent studies have found that 7SK RNA binds the CDK9/cyclin T complex (known as elongation factor P-TEFb).
Source: Rfam by way of RNAcentral